Molecule: long non-coding RNA, 537 nt
Filed under: Anser brachyrhynchus (Pink-footed goose)
Lineage: Eukaryota; Metazoa; Chordata; Aves; Anseriformes; Anatidae
Description: lncRNA (ENSABRG00000010943.1)
Source: RNAcentral
UUUAAGGUGUGUUUAGGGCCUUGAACAUUGGAGCCCUCGAGGAGACUGAUGGUGCAAACAAGUCUGACUUUGUUCUUCUCCCUGAGAAACACUUUAGGGAAAAGUUAGAGGAGAGGUGCUCUGAAAACCCGAGUCUUCCCAGCCUAUUGGAAAAUAAGUAGACCUUCAUUAUAUUCUCAUUACUCCAGCUCUCAGCACAGAAAGGCAAAAAAUAAAGGUCACUAGCUUUUACCAUCUGUGCUAAAAUGAGAUGAAGGUAAUAGAGGACUCCAAGAUUUAUUGCUUAGCUGCUGAUCUGAGGCUUCAACAAAAAAAGAAUAGGUCUUACAAUUCCACAUUACUGUGAGUUGCUCAAAAUGAGAGGAGAUUUGCUGUUCACUGCAGAGCAAGGUCGGAUUAUAGGAAGAAAACAACUAGCUGGUUUUCAACGUCAGCUGCAGCUUCUGGUCAGGAAAUCCUGCAGCAUAUGCUUGUGUGUUUGUCCUUAUCAUUUCUACUGGAAAUUUUUUUCCACCAGAAAAUGGACCUUAUUCAAAC